UUCAUACUUCCUCCGUCCGGAUAUACUUGUCAUCAAAAUGAAUAAAAGGAGAUGUAUCUAGACGUAUUUUAGUUGUAAAUACAUCCCUUUUUAUCCAUUUUGAUGACAAGUAUUUUCGGACGGAGGGAGUAUUAG
Triticum aestivum (bread wheat) is the source of this 135-nucleotide non-coding RNA. The record is from Rfam. NCBI's taxonomy places the organism in Eukaryota, Viridiplantae, Streptophyta, Magnoliopsida, Poales, Poaceae.